RNAcentral lists this transfer RNA (100 nucleotides) under Puccinia graminis f. sp. tritici. It matches the Rfam family "tRNA". Rfam says of the family: Transfer RNA (tRNA) molecules are approximately 80 nucleotides in length. The record is from Rfam by way of RNAcentral. Lineage: Eukaryota; Fungi; Basidiomycota; Pucciniomycetes; Pucciniales; Pucciniaceae.
AGCGAGAUGGCGCAGCUGGUAGCGCGCUGGGCUCAUACAGGAUGGUGUUUCACCAACGAUAGUCACCCAGAGGUCGUCGGAUCGAAACUGACUCUCGCUA